GACAGAGGGUGCAAACGUUGUUCGGAAUUACUGGGCGUAAAGCGCGUGUAGGCUGCUUGGAAAGUCGGGUGUGAAAGCCCUGAGCUCAACUCAGGAAGUGCACUCGAAACUUCCGAGCUCGAGUCCUGGAGAGGGUGGCGGAAUUCUCGGUGUAGAGGUGAAAUUCGUAGAUAUCGAGAGGAACACCGGUGGCGAAGGCGGCUACCUGGACAGUGACUGACGCUGAGACGCGAAAGCGUGGGGAGCAAACAGG
This 253-nucleotide ribosomal RNA is filed under the name uncultured bacterium. RNAcentral describes it as "partial 16S ribosomal RNA". It matches the Rfam family "Bacterial small subunit ribosomal RNA", at positions 524 to 776 of the family's 1533-position model. The record is from RNAcentral.